GAACCCCAUGAAAUAAUUAGCUGGUGGAUGCUUUGAACUUUCAGGGUGUUUUGUGGAUAUGGCGAAAUAGUUUGUAUUCCCUUACGAACCAAUAAUGUUGGUUAUCUCUUAGAAUGUGGUUGUAUCUUUGUUGGGUAAACAGUGUGCAAGCUGCCUGUUUUGGUUGCCUGCUACCCGAACUAACAAUGCACAUUAGACUCGAAUACUAGUGAGGUUUUUGGUUUGAGGAAUAAGCUACUCCAUCUUCUCGUUUCUCACUUUUUGUUUGGUUUGUAAAAUGGAAUAAGUUGAUCCAUCACCACCUCAUUCCUCAUAGUUAGUUAGUUAGUUACUAACAUGAGAAAUGAGGUCGUCCCACCAAAUUUGAGGAAUGAACUCAUGAUGCACCACCUCAUCUUUGAUGGAGUGAUUCCUCAAACUAAACACCCCUAGAUGGUUGGCUUGAAUCCAUGCCAUACUUAAUAUUCUUUUAGUUUCCUUGCGACCAUAUGUUUAUUUGCACAUGCUUAAUAUGCGAUCGUAGCAAAUUUGCGCAUAGCAUAUGACAAUAUUUUCUGCAGAUGCUUUUCUGACUUUGUGAAAUCUUGUGCCCAGGGAUAAGCUUCUUGCGAUACACCUAUGGGAGAUUUUUUUUGUAUCGCGAGAAAGGAUCAUAAAUCACACCUAUGGAAGACGAAGACCUGUGAAUUGCACCAAUGCUUUCACCAUUCUGUCUCAUAUCAGGGUAUCUAGUCCUAGUAGUUUCCUUUGGGUAUUGUGGGAGAGAACCAUGCCAGUGUGUACCACUCAUCCUUUGAUGUGAGAGGGGACUUUGUAUGUAAAGAGGCCAGGACUUUAACUGUUGGUAUUGGUUAAGUUAGGAAAUAUGGAUAACUUAUUUCAUCGUUGUCU
This 891-nucleotide long non-coding RNA is filed under the name Zea mays. RNAcentral's name for it is "long non-coding RNA NONZMAT003620". The record is from RNAcentral. Lineage: Eukaryota; Viridiplantae; Streptophyta; Magnoliopsida; Poales; Poaceae.